Molecule: ribosomal RNA, 198 nt
Filed under: uncultured bacterium
Lineage: Bacteria
Description: partial 16S ribosomal RNA
Rfam family: Bacterial small subunit ribosomal RNA
Source: RNAcentral
ACGCUCGACACCUACGGGUGGCAGCAGUGGGGAAUAUUGCACAAUGGGGGAAACCCUGAUGCAGCGACGCCGCGUGAAGGAAGAAGUAUCUCGGUAUGUAAACUUCUAUCAGCAGGGAAGAAAGUGACGGUACCUGACUAAGAAGCCCCGGCUAACUACGUGCUAGCAGCCGCGGUAAUCUGAGCGGGCUGGCAAGGC